RNAcentral lists this ribosomal RNA (775 nucleotides) under uncultured Neocallimastigales. Its description in RNAcentral is "partial large subunit ribosomal RNA". It matches the Rfam family "Eukaryotic large subunit ribosomal RNA", at positions 18 to 643 of the family's 3401-position model. Lineage: Eukaryota; Fungi; Neocallimastigomycota; Neocallimastigomycetes; Neocallimastigales. The record is from RNAcentral.
UCAGACGAUGCGUCAUGCAUAUCAAUAAGCGGAGGAAAAGAAACUAACAAGGAUUCCCCUAGUAACGGCGAGUGAAGCGGGAAGAGCUCAAAUUUGAAAUCUUAAAGGGUUUCCCUUUACGAAUUGUAGUUUAAAGAAGUGUUUUCUGUUGAGGUUUUGGUAAAAGUUCUUUGGAAUAGGACAUCAUAGAGGGUGAGAAUCCCGUAUUUGACCUUUACUUUCAACUUUGUGAUACACUUUCAAAGAGUCGGAUUGUUUGGGAAUGCAGUCCAAAAUGGGUGGUAAAUUUCAUCUAAAGCUAAAUAUUGGCGAGAGACCGAUAGCGAACAAGUACCGUGAGGGAAAGAUGAAAAGAACUUUGAAAAGAGAGUUAAACAGUACGUGAAAUUGUCAAAAGGGAAGCGUUUGACACCAGUGUUGUUUUUCUGAAAAUCAAUUAAAGAACUGUUUAUGCUAAGCUGUUUAGACUUUAUCAGCUAGUCUGUUUAGUUUUGAGCUUUUCUUUAAUGCACUUUUCAGUUAACAAGUCAACAUCAAUUUCUUUUGCUGUAAAAAAGCUUGAGGAAGGUGGCUUGAGAUUCGUCUUAAGUGUUUAUAGCCUCUUGCCUAUGCAGUCGGAGAGAUUGAGGUCUGCAGCGUAGAUCCUUCGGGGCUAAAUGCAUUUGUGCUAAGUUAUAGCAUUUUAUAGACAACUUGUUGACUAUGAUUUGUCUUGUAGCUUACUCGCUUAUGUUAUUUUACCUACGCUUAGGAUGUUGACACACGCGCGUGCUCG